Molecule: ribosomal RNA, 305 nt
Filed under: uncultured bacterium
Lineage: Bacteria
Description: bacterial SSU rRNA
Rfam family: Bacterial small subunit ribosomal RNA
Source: RNAcentral
AAGGCCUACGGGACGCAGCAGUGAGGAAUAUUGGUCAAUGGGCGGCAGCCUGAACCAGCCCAGUCGCGUGAGGGAUGACGGCCCUAUGGGUUGUAAACCUCUUUUGCCGGGGAGCAAAGUGCCGCACGUGUGCGGUUUGGAGAGUACCCGGAGAAAAAGCAUCGGCUAACUCCGUGCCAGCAGCCGCGGUAAUACGGAGGAUGCGAGCGUUAUCCGGGUUUAUUGGGUUUAAAGGGUGCGUAGGCGGACGCUUAAGUUAGCGGUAAAAUUGCCGGGCUCCACCUCGUCGAGCCGUUGAAACUGGG